GAUGAACGCUGGCGGCGUGCCUAAUACAUGCAAGUCGAGCGAACGGACGAGAAGCUUGCUUCUCUGAUGUUAGCGGCGGACGGGUGAGUAACACGUGGAUAACCUACCUAUAAGACUGGGAUAACUUCGGGAAACCGGAGCUAAUACCGGAUAAUAUUUUGAACCGCAUGGUUCAAAAGUGAAAGACGGUCUUGCUGUCACUUAUAGAUGGAUCCGCGCUGCAUUAGCUAGUUGGUAAGGUAACGGCUUACCAAGGCAACGAUGCAUAGCCGACCUGAGAGGGUGAUCGGCCACACUGGAACUGAGACACGGUCCAGACUCCUACGGGAGGCAGCAGUAGGGAAUCUUCCGCAAUGGGCGAAAGCCUGACGGAGCAACGCCGCGUGAGUGAUGAAGGUCUUCGGAUCGUAAAACUCUGUUAUUAGGGAAGAACAUAUGUGUAAGUAACUGUGCACAUCUUGACGGUACCUAAUCAGAAAGCCACGGCUAACUACGUGCCAGCAGCCGCGGUAAUACGUAUGUGGCAAGCGUUUUCCGGAAUUAUUGGGCGUAAAGCGCGCGUAGGCGGUUUUUUAAGUCUGAUGUGAAAGCCCACGGCUCAACCGUGGAGGGUCAUUGGAAACUGGAAAACUUGAGUGCAGAAGAGGAAAGUGGAAUUCCAUGUGUAGCGGUGAAAUGCGCAGAGAUAUGGAGGAACACCAGUGGCGAAGGCGACUUUCUGGUCUGUAACUGACGCUGAUGUGCGAAAGCGUGGGGAUCAAACAGGAUUAGAUACCCUGGUAGUCCACGCCGUAAACGAUGAGUGCUAAGUGUUAGGGGGUUUCCGCCCCUUAGUGCUGCAGCUAACGCAUUAAGCACUCCGCCUGGGGAGUACGACCGCAAGGUUGAAACUCAAAGGAAUUGACGGGGACCCGCACAAGCGGUGGAGCAUGUGGUUUAAUUCGAAGCAACGCGAAGAACCUUACCAAAUCUUGACAUCCUUUGACAACUCUAGAGAUAGAGCUUUCCCCUUCGGGGGACAAAGUGACAGGUGGUGCAUGGUUGUCGUCAGCUCGUGUCGUGAGAUGUUGGGUUAAGUCCCGCAACGAGCGCAACCCUUAAGCUUAGUUGCCAUCAUUAAGUUGGGCACUCUAAGUUGACUGCCGGUGACAAACCGGAGGAAGGUGGGGAUGACGUCAAAUCAUCAUGCCCCUUAUGAUUUGGGCUACACACGUGCUACAAUGGACAAUACAAAGGGCAGCGAAACCGCGAGGUCAAGCAAAUCCCAUAAAGUUGUUCUCAGUUCGGAUUGUAGUCUGCAACUCGACUACAUGAAGCUGGAAUCGCUAGUAAUCGUAGAUCAGCAUGCUACGGUGAAUACGUUCCCGGGUCU
RNAcentral lists this ribosomal RNA (1372 nucleotides) under uncultured bacterium. RNAcentral's name for it is "bacterial SSU rRNA". It matches the Rfam family "Bacterial small subunit ribosomal RNA", at positions 28 to 1381 of the family's 1533-position model. The record is from RNAcentral.